GGGAACCUUUAACCAGAGCCCAAAACAAAUUAGCAAACAGAAUAGCUCUGGCUACAAGGAGGGUGAUAGCAGAACUCUGGGGUUCCCCGGAGGUCCCCACUUUAGCCACAAUCAUCCGCAAAACCAGGGAAGCCAUUGAAAUGGACAGAAUCUCAGCCCUAGUCCAUGAAACGUCAGGCCACUUUCACAAAAUUUGGGACCCGUGGCUGAGCGAGCCGGCGCUGAAUCCGUCGAACCUG
Molecule: non-coding RNA, 239 nt
Organism: Pelobates cultripes (western spadefoot toad)
Lineage: Eukaryota; Metazoa; Chordata; Amphibia; Anura; Pelobatidae
Source: the annotation of a GenBank genome assembly